Molecule: unclassified non-coding RNA, 345 nt
Filed under: uncultured fungus
Lineage: Eukaryota; Fungi
Description: sequence contains ITS1, 5.8S rRNA gene, ITS2 and 28S rRNA gene
Rfam family: 5.8S ribosomal RNA (bases 177-330)
Source: RNAcentral
GGAAGGAUCAUUAUUGAAUAAACCUGAUGGGUUGUUGCUGGCUCUCUAGAGAGCAUGUGCACGCCUUGUCAUCUUUAAAUCUCCACCUGUGCACCUUUUGUAGACCUUUUCAGGUCUAUGUUGUCUCAUUUACCCCAAUGUAUGUUAAUAGAAUGUUGUGACUAUAUAAUAUAUACAACUUUCAGCAACGGAUCUCUUGGCUCUCGCAUCGAUGAAGAACGCAGCGAAAUGCGAUAAGUAAUGUGAAUUGCAGAAUUCAGUGAAUCAUCGAAUCUUUGAACGCACCUUGCGCUCCUUGGUAUUCCGAGGAGCAUGCCUGUUUGAGUGUCAUUAAUAUAUAUAUCA